This 406-nucleotide ribosomal RNA is filed under the name bacterium. Its description in RNAcentral is "partial 16S ribosomal RNA". It matches the Rfam family "Bacterial small subunit ribosomal RNA", at positions 355 to 776 of the family's 1533-position model. The record is from RNAcentral.
UGGGGAAUAUUGGACAAUGGACCGAGAGUCUGAUCCAGCAAUUCUGUGUGCACGAUGACGUUUUUCGGAAUGUAAAGUGCUUUCAGUUGGGAAGAAAGAAAUGACGGUACCAACAGAAGAAGUGACGGCUAAUACGUGCCAGCAGCCGCGGUAAUACGUAUGUCACGAGCGUUAUCCGGAUUUAUUGGGCGUAAAGCGCGUCUAGGUGGUUAUGUAAGUCUGAUGUGAAAAUGCAGGGCUCAACUCUGUAUUGCGUUGGAAACUGUAUAACUAGAGUACUGGAGAGGUAAGCGGAACUACAAGUGUAGAGGUGAAAUUCGUAGAUAUUUGUAGGAAUGCCGAUGGGGAAGCCAGCUUACUGGACAGAUACUGACGCUAAAGCGCGAAAGCGUGGGUAGCAAACAGG